This 492-nucleotide ribosomal RNA is filed under the name uncultured bacterium. RNAcentral describes it as "partial 16S ribosomal RNA". It matches the Rfam family "Bacterial small subunit ribosomal RNA", at positions 29 to 507 of the family's 1533-position model. The record is from RNAcentral.
AGUGAACGCUGGCGGUAGGCCUAACACAUGCAAGUCGAACGGCAGCACAGUAAGAGCUUGCUCUUACGGGUGGCGAGUGGCGGACGGGUGAGGAAUACAUCGGAAUCUACCUUUUCGUGGGGGAUAACGUAGGGAAACUUACGCUAAUACCGCAUACGACCUACGGGUGAAAGCAGGGGAUCUUCGGACCUUGCGCGAUUGAAUGAGCCGAUGUCGGAUUAGCUAGUUGGCGGGGUAAAGGCCCGCCAAGGCGACGAUCCGUAGCUGGUCUGAGAGGAUGAUCAGCCACACUGGAACUGAGACACGGUCCAGACUCCUACGGGAGGCAGCAGUGGGGAAUAUUGGACAAUGGGCGCAAGCCUGAUCCAGCCAUACCGCGUGGGUGAAGAAGGCCUUCGGGUUGUAAAGCCCUUUUGUUGGGAAAGAAAAGCAGCAGGUUAAUACCCCGCUGUUCUGACGGUACCCAAAGAAUAAGCACCGGCUAACUUCGUG